This 774-nucleotide long non-coding RNA is filed under the name Homo sapiens (human). Its description in RNAcentral is "novel transcript". The record is from RNAcentral. Lineage: Eukaryota; Metazoa; Chordata; Mammalia; Primates; Hominidae.
GGGAGACACUCAGGAGGAAGCAGAGGGGAGAGGAAACGCUGCUUUUGGAGCCAACAACUAUGGAUGUGUUGUCCAGAGGAAACCUGUGGAUCAAGCAAGGAUGCCUACAAAAAGACUAAUUUCCCAGUAAUCCAACUUAUUCCAAACACUCCACCCACAAGGCAGCAAGUGAGGGAAAAAAUAGAAUUCUGCUUGAAGAUGCUUUUCAGUCAACUCUCUCUAGCUCAUAAAUCAGCGCUUCUCCAAGAGUGUUAUGAACCCUGCACCCUCCUUGUCAGUGCUGAUUUCUGCACCCAUCUCCCAGUUACCAUCUGGAAUAGAAUCCAAUAGUGAUCCACCAAUGGACAAUUUUUGCUAUGAAGGAGGAAAGAGAGGACAGAUUUGAUUACAACAAAAGCAUCCCAAGAAUGUGUCCUGCAUGAGCUCUUCAGGCUGUGAAAUCUUGAACUUCUACACCCAUCCUUGGCUGGCUUUUUCCAUGUGAGGCCAUAUAGAGUAACUUAUGAGGUAUUACCACCGUCAUUUUCCAGAAGAAGAAAGCUGAGGCUCAGAGUGAUCAAGAAUACCCAGCCAGAACGUGGCAUCUGGGACUUCUGUCUCCACUCUGUUAUCCACCAGCACCCUUGGGCCCUAUUGCUUGGCUAGAUGGGCACUCUGCAUGUAUCAGGCAUUGUCUGUCACCUGAGUCACUACAUGUAUGACAUCAUAUGUCUAUUACCAGUCUCAGAUAUACACUAAGAAAAUAAGAUUUCAUUAAAGUAUUUUCUAAAUUCA